AAGUCGUAACAAGGUUUCCGUAGGUGAACCUGCGGAAGGAUCAUUAACACGUAUCCAACGUUAAACAACCCUGUGAACUUUAAGUCCCCUCUUGCAGCCCAUGAGGAACAGCAAUCCCGGUAAAUCAUUGCCAAACAGUUUUGAUUCGGGACCUCUGUCCAAAAGGAGUUGCAAUCGAAGGGUGGAAGCAGUGGCAUGGCUUCCCCAAGCAGUUAGUGAAUGACAGUGUCACUGACUGUGUAAGGAUAACGCCUCACGGUUGCUAGAGGUCGAUCACCGACCGGCAGACAUGUCACAGGGUCACCACGCCCCUUAGGUAAAAAAAACCGAACAACUGUUAACAAUGGAUAUCUUGGUUCUC
Molecule: unclassified non-coding RNA, 361 nt
Filed under: fungal sp.
Lineage: Eukaryota; Fungi
Description: partial internal transcribed spacer region
Rfam family: Eukaryotic small subunit ribosomal RNA (bases 1-46)
Source: RNAcentral